Molecule: ribosomal RNA, 535 nt
Filed under: Chromobacterium haemolyticum
Lineage: Bacteria; Pseudomonadati; Pseudomonadota; Betaproteobacteria; Neisseriales; Chromobacteriaceae
Description: bacterial SSU rRNA
Rfam family: Bacterial small subunit ribosomal RNA
Source: RNAcentral
GGGGUAAAGGCUCACCAAGGCUUCGAUCAGUAGCGGGUCUGAGAGGAUGAUCCGCCACACUGGGACUGAGACACGGCCCAGACUCCUACGGGAGGCAGCAGUGGGGAAUUUUGGACAAUGGGCGCAAGCCUGAUCCAGCCAUGCCGCGUGUCUGAAGAAGGCCUUCGGGUUGUAAAGGACUUUUGUCCGGGAGCAAAUCCCAGUGGUUAAUACCUACUGGGGCUGAGAGUACCGGAAGAAUAAGCACCGGCUAACUACGUGCCAGCAGCCGCGGUAAUACGUAGGGUGCAAGCGUUAAUCGGAAUUACUGGGCGUAAAGCGUGCGCAGGCGGUUGUGCAAGUCUGAUGUGAAAGCCCCGGGCUUAACCUGGGAACGGCAUUGGAGACUGCACGACUAGAGUGCGUCAGAGGGGGGUAGAAUUCCGCGUGUAGCAGUGAAAUGCGUAGAGAUGCGGAGGAAUACCGAUGGCGAAGGCAGCCCCCUGGGAUGACACUGACGCUCAUGCACGAAAGCGUGGGGAGCAAACAGGAUUAG